Molecule: long non-coding RNA, 1040 nt
Organism: Piliocolobus tephrosceles (Ugandan red Colobus)
Lineage: Eukaryota; Metazoa; Chordata; Mammalia; Primates; Cercopithecidae
Exons: 3
Source: RefSeq, a predicted model, not a curated record
UGUCUUCCCAGGGUCAAUUUUUCUUAGUGGCUUCUUAAUUACUGAAGAAACAUCAAAACUAAAAUUAAUGAAUCUGAAGUGUCCUUUCAAGUUUGGGGGAGAAAUACUCGAACAAGGGGCCCCUCGCUUCAAACCCCACAGGUUCUAACCCAGAAUACUGGCCAUUUUUGAGCUAUUCACCUCUGUUGGAAUUUGUAAGCAUUGAGUGAAAUUGUGAAUUUGCCUGUCGCUGACUCCAGGGAAGAGAUGAGUCAAUCAACUCUGAAGAAUCAAGAUUUCCAGAAGAUCUAAAGCCCCCUUGCCUUCCUCUUUCUCAGCUACCCAUCAAAUAAGAGGCCUCGUUGGAGAACCAGAAUGGACAUUCUCCAAGCUGUCUGAAAUCCCGGUUGGUACUCCAGGCUUCAACAACUUCAGCACAAUGAGAGACAGCAAAGAAUAUCCUGGCCUUUGACAACCCCCUGCCUUCUAACAUACCGAGGUUAAUCAGACCCAGGACAAUUUGGAAGGGGCUCUUCUGCCACAACUUGGGGAGUGGAGGAUGGGAAAGCCAUAGGAGCCCCAGCAGGGCUGUUCUGAAGGUUUUCAACAUCUGAAAUUCACAGGAUCAUGGAGACGAACUAAACCAUCAUGGAGACGAACUAAACCAGAUGCAUCUAGCUCCUCAUGUUAGAGUUGAGAAAACAGAAACCCAGGGCUUGGGGACUACCUUGAAGACAUCAAGGUCCUGGUUGAUGACAAAAUCAGGACCAAGCUUCUGAUCCUCCCAAAUAUUCCUUCACUCCUCAGUGCUGCCUGUGAUGAGAAAGAUCAAAGCAUGCAUGCAAUUGUAAAUCAUGACACAGAGGCAACAUGCAAUUAUUUAGGUACUAAUUAAUAGACUGUGUAUCAAGUCAGCACUAAUCAAAUUCUUCAUGCCUUGACAGGGUUGUAGCUUGUCAGGAAUUUCUGAAGAUGAAAAAACUAUUUGUCUCAGGACAAAUCCUUCUCCUUCCAGUAAAUGCAAAGAAAGGAAAAAGUGUAACCAGGGGUAUUUAAGCUCA